Molecule: long non-coding RNA, 831 nt
Filed under: Solanum lycopersicum (tomato)
Lineage: Eukaryota; Viridiplantae; Streptophyta; Magnoliopsida; Solanales; Solanaceae
Description: partial TCONS_00022595
Source: RNAcentral
CUUUGUUCCAGUAAAGGUUGAAUCAAUUCGUUUUGCUUAACGGGUUUCAUAUUUGAAGUUCAAGUUGAAGAUUAACUGAAGAAGGAUUUAUUUAUUUGUUUGAAUGUAUAUAUAUAUCUAUAUAUUUUUAUUUUUUCGCUAUUUUAUUUAUCCGAAUGAUGUAACAAUUGUAACCCUAAAGAUCAUAUAAUAAAUUUAUUUGGGGGUCGUCUAGGGGAGGGGGAUUUAUAUGCUNNNUUGUUCAUUAUAUUUUUUAGAAAUCAUGCCUAUAAGUUUGUCUUUAACCACCUAGAUUUAAUGUUUAUAGGUGUUAUAAUCUAAUCAAUUUUCAAUUUUCUUGACACUUUUGUUAAUAAAGUCUAAAAAAUAAUAAACUAGAUUCCGUUAAUGUUAAAAGCAAAUCAUAGUAAUAGGCCGAUUAGGUGUUUUAAUAAUGUUAUAAUUUUAGCAUCAUAUUGUCAUGUAGAAACCAUGUCUAAGGUUUAAUUUGUUCAUAUCAUUUACAAAAUCAUGCAUAUAUAUGUUACAUUUUUUUAUUUUUUUUUAAACACCUAGAAAUCAUGUCUAUAGGUUUGUAAAUAAAUUUUUUUAACAAAAUUUGUUUGUGCAUAUUUGUGCCCUCCCCUUAAAAUUAGUUAAUAUCAUUAGAAAUCCUAUCUGUCCUCUUGAAGAUUUCCGCAUUCAUUAUGCAACUUUUUUUAUUAGAGUCAUUUUAUGCAUCUAGCAAGUUACUUAGUUUAAAAAUAUUUCAUAUCAAAACCUUGCAACAUAAUUCAAUCUUUCUUUAAAUUUUGGAUUGAUUAUGACUCUGCUUAUUUCUGAAAUAAAUUA